AGCGAACGCUGGCGGCAGGCCUAACACAUGCAAGUCGAACGGAUCCUUCGGGAUUAGUGGCGGACGGGUGAGUAACACGUGGGAACGUGCCCUUUGGUUCGGAACAACUCAGGGAAACUUGAGCUAAUACCGGAUGUGCCCUUCGGGGGAAAGAUUUAUCGCCAUUGGAGCGGCCCGCGUCUGAUUAGCUAGUUGGUGAGGUAACGGCCCACCAAGGCGACGAUCAGUAGCUGGUCUGAGAGGAUGAUCAGCCACAUUGGGACUGAGACACGGCCCAGACUCCUACGGGAGGCAGCAGUGGGGAAUCUUGCGCAAUGGGCGAAAGCCUGACGCAGCCAUGCCGCGUGAAUGAUGAAGGUCUUAGGAUUGUAAAAUUCUUUCAGCGGGGACGAUAAUGACGGUACCCGCAGAAGAAGCUCCGGCUAACUUCGUG
RNAcentral lists this ribosomal RNA (433 nucleotides) under uncultured bacterium. RNAcentral describes it as "partial 16S ribosomal RNA". It matches the Rfam family "Bacterial small subunit ribosomal RNA", at positions 29 to 507 of the family's 1533-position model. The record is from RNAcentral.